RNAcentral lists this ribosomal RNA (253 nucleotides) under uncultured prokaryote. RNAcentral describes it as "partial 16S ribosomal RNA". It matches the Rfam family "Bacterial small subunit ribosomal RNA", at positions 524 to 776 of the family's 1533-position model. The record is from RNAcentral.
UACAGAGGGUGCAAGCGUUGUUCGGAAUUAUUGGGCGUAAAGGGUGCGUAGGCGGUGCGGUAAGUCUGUAGUGAAAUCUCUGGGCUCAACUCAGAGUCUGCUAUAGAAACUGCCGUGCUUGAGUGUGGGAGAGGUGAGUGGAAUUCCCGGUGUAGCGGUGAAAUGCGUAGAGAUCGGGAAGAACAUCGGUGGCGAAAGCGCUCUACUGGACCGCAACUGACACUGAGGGACGAAAGCUAGGGGAGCGAAUGGG